Postia placenta Mad-698-R is the source of this 77-nucleotide non-coding RNA. The record is from Rfam. NCBI's taxonomy places the organism in Eukaryota, Fungi, Basidiomycota, Agaricomycetes, Polyporales, Adustoporiaceae.
GCCCGUUUAGCUCAGUGGUAGAGCGCGCCACUUGUAUGGUCAUGGUGAGGUCGGUUGUUCAAUCCAGCCAAUGGGCA